UACAGAGGUCUCAAGCGUUGUUCGGAAUCACUGGGCGUAAAGGGUGUGUAGGCUGCGUGUUAAGUCAGAUGUGAAAUCCCGGGGCUCAACCCCGGAACUGCAUCCGAUACUGGCAUGCUGGAGAAUUGGAGAGGAGUCUAGAAUUCACGGUGUAGCAGUGAAAUGCGUGGAUAUCGUGAGGAAUACCAAGUGCGAAGGCAGGACUCUGGACAUUAUCUGACGCUGAGACACGAAGGCCAGGGGAGCAAACGGG
This 253-nucleotide ribosomal RNA is filed under the name uncultured bacterium. RNAcentral describes it as "partial 16S ribosomal RNA". It matches the Rfam family "Bacterial small subunit ribosomal RNA", at positions 524 to 776 of the family's 1533-position model. The record is from RNAcentral.